UACGGAGGGUGCAAGCGUUAUCCGGAUUCACUGGGUUUAAAGGGUGCGUAGGCGGGCAGGUAAGUCCGUGGUGAAAUCUCUGAGCUUAACUCAGAAACUGCCAUGGAUACUAUUUGUCUUGAAUAUUGUGGAGGUAAGCGGAAUAUGUCAUGUAGCGGUGAAAUGCUUAGAUAUGACAUAGAACACCAAUUGCGAAGGCAGCUUACUACACAGUUAUUGACGCUGAGGCACGAAAGCGUGGGGAUCAAGCAGG
Molecule: ribosomal RNA, 253 nt
Filed under: uncultured bacterium
Lineage: Bacteria
Description: partial 16S ribosomal RNA
Rfam family: Bacterial small subunit ribosomal RNA
Source: RNAcentral